GCGUCGGUGGUAGAGCGGCCAAUUACUCGGGACUGUAAAUCCCGCGCCCAAUGGGCUACGCAGGUUCGAAUCCUGCCCGACGCA
Molecule: transfer RNA, 84 nt
Filed under: bacterium
Lineage: Bacteria
Description: tRNA-Tyr
Rfam family: tRNA
About the family: Transfer RNA (tRNA) molecules are approximately 80 nucleotides in length. Their secondary structure includes four short double-helical elements and three loops (D, anti-codon, and T loops). Further hydrogen bonds mediate the characteristic L-shaped molecular structure. tRNAs have two regions of fundamental functional importance: the anti-codon, which is responsible for specific mRNA codon recognition, and the 3' end, to which the tRNAs corresponding amino acid is attached (by aminoacyl-tRNA synthetases). tRNAs cope with the degeneracy of the genetic code in two manners: having more than one tRNA (with a specific anti-codon) for a particular amino acid; and 'wobble' base-pairing, i.e. permitting non-standard base-pairing at the 3rd anti-codon position.
Source: RNAcentral